CGGCGGAGGCGGCGGCGGCGGCGGCGAUGGCAGCGGACCCUGAGCGAGCUUGAGGGCUCGGACCCAGCUCCCUCCCGCGAAACCUUGGGCCGAUCCGGCGCUGCGGCCCCAGCUCGCUCCGCUCCUGCUCCCUCCCCGGCCGCUGCCUGGGCGGAGGCAGAGGCAGAGGCCCGGGCUGGCCGCCCUGCUCGUGCCCCAGCUCGGCCCCGGACGGCCCGGCUGCUGUGCAGAGAGGAGGCCGAGUCGGUAGUGAAAAGAGAAUACUGAAGAAUAGGAUCUCAAGAUGAGUAAAAAGCCCCCAAAUCGCCCUGGAAUCACUUUUGAGAUUGGUGCUCGUUUGGAGGCACUGGACUACUUACAAAAAUGGUAUCCAUCACGAAUUGAAAAAAUUGACUAUGAGGAGGGCAAGAUGUUGGUCCAUUUUGAGCGCUGGAGUCAUCGUUAUGAUGAGUGGAUUUACUGGGAUAGCAAUAGAUUGCGACCCCUUGAGAGACCAGCACUAAGAAAAGAAGGGCUAAAAGAUGAGGAAGAUUUCUUUGAUUUUAAAGCUGGAGAAGAAGUUCUGGCUCGUUGGACAGACUGUCGCUAUUACCCUGCCAAGAUUGAAGCAAUUAACAAAGAAGGAACAUUUACAGUUCAGUUUUAUGAUGGAGUAAUUCGUUGUUUAAAAAGAAUGCACAUUAAAGCCAUGCCCGAGGAUGCUAAGGGGCAGGUGAAAUCCCAGCAUCCACUAAGCUGGUGUUGUCCUAUCGACCCAGCUGGAUCGUGUAACCAGUCUAUGGGAAGUGAGGAUUGGAUAGCUUUAGUCAAAGCAGCUGCUGCAGCUGCAGCCAAGAACAAAACAGGGAGUAAACCUCGAACCAGCGCUAACAGCAAUAAAGAUAAGGAUAAAGAUGAGAGAAAGUGGUUUAAAGUACCUUCAAAGAAGGAGGAAACUUCAACUUGUAUAGCCACACCAGACGUAGAGAAGAAGGAAGAUCUGCCUACAUCUAGUGAAACAUUUGGACUUCAUGUAGAGAACGUUCCAAAGAUGGUCUUUCCACAGCCAGAGAGCACAUUAUCAAACAAGAGGAAAAAUAAUCAAGGCAACUCGUUUCAGGCAAAGAGAGCUCGACUUAACAAGAUUACUGGUUUGUUGGCAUCCAAAGCUGUUGGGGUGGAUGGUGCUGAAAAAAAGGAAGACUACAAUGAAACAGCUCCAAUGCUGGAGCAGGCGAUUUCACCUAAACCUCAAAGUCAGAAAAAAAAUGAAGCUGACAUUAGCAGUUCUGCCAACACUCAGAAACCUGCACUGUUAUCCUCAACUUUGUCUUCAGGGAAGGCUCGCAGCAAGAAAUGCAAACAUGAAUCUGGAGAUUCUUCUGGGUGUAUAAAACCCCCUAAAUCACCACUUUCCCCAGAAUUAAUACAAGUCGAGGAUUUGACGCUUGUAUCUCAGCUUUCUUCUUCAGUGAUAAAUAAAACUAGUCCUCCACAGCCUGUGAAUCCCCCUAGACCUUUCAAGCAUAGUGAGCGGAGAAGAAGAUCUCAGCGUUUAGCCACCUUACCCAUGCCUGAUGAUUCUGUAGAAAAGGUUUCUUCUCCCUCUCCAGCCACUGAUGGGAAAGUAUUCUCCAUCAGUUCUCAAAAUCAGCAAGAAUCUUCAGUAUCAGAGGUGCCUGAUGUUGCACAUUUGCCACUUGAGAAGCUGGGACCCUGUCUCCCUCUUGACUUAAGUCGUGGUUCAGAAGUUACAGCACCGGUAGCCUCAGAUUCCUCUUACCAUAAUGAAUGUCCCAGGGCAGAAAAAGAGGAUACACAGAUGCUUCCAAAUCCUUCUUCCAAAGCAAUAGCUGAUGGAAGAGGAGCUCCAGCAGCAGCAGGAAUAUCGAAAACAGAAAAAAAAGUGAAAUUGGAAGACAAAAGCUCAACAGCAUUUGGUAUCAGGAGUUGGGAUUUCUCAGCACUGCUAAUGAAGAUCCCCUCUUAUAGUCCAAUAAGCUUAUCAGGACUUCCAGAGUCAUGACAUGAACAGUUUAAUUGAACCCAUCCACUCUGGGCAGGUGACUGGAAUAGCUGAUUAAAACAUAAAUGCUGCUUUUAGGUUAACCACAAAGGAACAACUCAGGAUCAGUCGUGAUUGCUAAAGUAUUCACUUUUAUCUUUUAGGUAAGAGAAAAGAAAAAGAUAAGGAAAGAAGAGAGAAGAGAGACAAAGAUCACUACAAACCAAAACAGAAGAAGAAGA
This 2226-nucleotide small RNA is filed under the name Pan troglodytes (chimpanzee). RNAcentral's name for it is "retained intron". Lineage: Eukaryota; Metazoa; Chordata; Mammalia; Primates; Hominidae. The record is from RNAcentral.